AUUGAACGCUGGCGGCAGGCCUAACACAUGCGAGUCGAGCGGAUGAAGGGAGCUUGCUCCUGGAUUCAGCGGCGGACGGGUGAGUAAUGCCUAGGAAUCUGCCUGGUAGUGGGGGAUAACGUCCGGAAACGGGCGCUAAUACCGCAUACGUCCUGAGGGAGAAAGUGGGGGAUCUUCGGACCUCACGCUAUCAGAUGAGCCUAGGUCGGAUUAGCUAGUUGGUGGGGUAAAGGCCUACCAAGGCGACGAUCCGUAACUGGUCUGAGAGGAUGAUCAGUCACACUGGAACUGAGACACGGUCCAGACUCCUACGGGAGGCAGCAGUGGGGAAUAUUGGACAAUGGGCGAAAGCCUGAUCCAGCCAUGCCGCGUGAGUGAAGAAGGUCUUCGGAUUGUAAAGCACUUUAAGUUGGGAGGAAGAGCAGUAAGUUAAUACCUUGCUGUUUUGACGUUACCAACAGAAUAAGCACCGGCUAACUUCGUG
RNAcentral lists this ribosomal RNA (484 nucleotides) under uncultured bacterium. RNAcentral's name for it is "partial 16S ribosomal RNA". It matches the Rfam family "Bacterial small subunit ribosomal RNA", at positions 30 to 507 of the family's 1533-position model. The record is from RNAcentral.